This 83-nucleotide transfer RNA is filed under the name Actinomycetota bacterium. RNAcentral describes it as "tRNA-Leu". It matches the Rfam family "tRNA". Rfam says of the family: Transfer RNA (tRNA) molecules are approximately 80 nucleotides in length. Their secondary structure includes four short double-helical elements and three loops (D, anti-codon, and T loops). The record is from RNAcentral. Lineage: Bacteria; Bacillati; Actinomycetota.
GCGGCGGUGGCGGAACGGCAUACGCGAUCGCCUCAAAAGCGAUUGCCCUCCGGGGCUUGUGGGUUCGAAUCCCACCCGCCGCA